UGUAAGCGUAUACCAAAGUUGUUGCAGUUAAAACGCUCGUAGUCGGAAUUUGGCAGUUCCGGAAGUGUGCACGUCGUGUGCGCACUUUGCGGGGACUGCUUUUGUGGUCUUGCGUAGGAUGAGGCACUUUCAUUAGUGAACGUCCUCACGCAACCACUCUUUACUGUGAGAAAAUCAGAGUGCUCAAAGCAGGCAUUUGCCGUGAAUGUAUUAGCAUGGAAUAAUGGAAUAGGACUUGGUUCUAUUUUGUUGGUUUGUUGGGACUGAGUAAUGAUUAAGAGGGACAGUUGGGGGCAUUUGUAUUUCGGUGCUAGAGGUGAAAUUCUUAGAUUACCGAAAGACAAACUGCUGCGAAAGCGUCUGCCAAGGAUGUUUUCAUUGA
This 382-nucleotide ribosomal RNA is filed under the name uncultured eukaryote. RNAcentral's name for it is "partial 18S ribosomal RNA". It matches the Rfam family "Eukaryotic small subunit ribosomal RNA", at positions 592 to 976 of the family's 1831-position model. The record is from RNAcentral.